UAGGGAAUCUUCCACAAUGGACGCAAGUCUGAUGGAGCAACGCCGCGUGAGUGAAGAAGGCUUUCGGGUCGUAAAACUCUGUUAUUGAAGAAGAACGUGUGUGACAGUAACUGGUCAUGCAGUGACGGAUAUUCAAUCAGAAAGUCACGGCUAACUACGUGCCAGCAGCCGCGGUAAUACGUAGGUGGCAAGCGGUUAUCCGGAUUUAUUGGGCGUAAAGCGAGUGCAGGC
RNAcentral lists this ribosomal RNA (231 nucleotides) under uncultured bacterium. RNAcentral's name for it is "partial 16S ribosomal RNA". It matches the Rfam family "Bacterial small subunit ribosomal RNA", at positions 355 to 576 of the family's 1533-position model. The record is from RNAcentral.